Molecule: non-coding RNA, 101 nt
Organism: Saccoglossus kowalevskii
Lineage: Eukaryota; Metazoa; Hemichordata; Enteropneusta; Harrimaniidae
Gene: Mir200
Product: microRNA mir-200
Source: RefSeq, marked provisional
GAUGCGAUGUGAAUUCAAUUGACAUCUUACCCGACAGCAUUAGACUUGUUAUGCAUUCUCUAAUACUGUCUGGUAAUGAUGUUAAUAGAUUUCACCAUCUC